Molecule: small nucleolar RNA, 73 nt
Organism: Callorhinchus milii (elephant shark)
Lineage: Eukaryota; Metazoa; Chordata; Chondrichthyes; Chimaeriformes; Callorhinchidae
Source: RefSeq, a predicted model, not a curated record
CAGCAAUGAUGAACUUAAACAUAACGUGAACAAAUCAUGUCGAACAAUUAAGAGCUUUUUAACCCUGAGCUUU